Phascolarctos cinereus (koala) is the source of this 1802-nucleotide long non-coding RNA. The record is from Ensembl. Lineage: Eukaryota; Metazoa; Chordata; Mammalia; Diprotodontia; Phascolarctidae.
AGAGGGCUGGAGAAAUGGGAGGGUCUUUGGGGUGCGGGAGGGCUGGGCCCAGCACAGGGGGCUGCAUGCGAGGCCAGGGGAGGAGGAUCGUCGGCUAGGGAUGUGCAGGGACCCUGGAGGUCACCUGGCCCUUGCUUUUCUGCCAAAGAGCAGGGGGCAGCCAUCCCCGGGCCGCCGUCUGGGUUCACAAAGGCCAGGUAGGGAAGAGCUAGACAGCCCCGGGGGCCCAGCUUUCUGGCCUUUCUCUCCUCUUCUUGGUGUCCCUUCCUUCCUCCUCAAGUGCUUUCUCCCGGACGGCCUCUCCUUGGCAAGAAGGGCCCCGGUCUCCCCAGCCUCUCCGUCUCUCUCCCUCCGAAGGUCUCUGUUUUUUCUCUCUCCGUCUCCCCGACUCCCUCCCUCCCUCCCGGGCAGGUCCCCCCACUCUUAGCUGCUCUUCUGGGAUAGGUGUUCGGAGCGCGGGACCCUGCGAUUGGCCGUGGGGCUGUGGAGGGGGGCGGUCUCUUCACAGCUCUCCCGGGUCCGGAUUGGGCACCGUGAAGCGAGGGGCGUGUUGGGGGCGGGCCUGGGGCCGCCUGCGGGAGGGGCGGCCGAGGCCAGGGCCGAGAGCUCCGGGCGGUCGCAUUGUUUUCCUCCGCGGAGCCGCGAUCAGAGUAGGCUCUGCGGCUCGGACCUCGGACUCACGAGACACGGUAGCCCGCCCGGAGCCCCCAGCUCCGGGCUGCCGGCCCCCUCCUCCCAAACCGAGACCCUCUCCCUGUCCCCCGAGAUACCCCUCCCGGACCCCCAAAACCGGGACCCCUGGGAUCCCCGAGCCCCGGACUCUCGAGCCCGCGGCCGCCGCCUCCACCCCACGGACCUGGCUUCCAGGAGGCAGCCCGAUGAGGAGGGGAAGAAGAUGAGGUUGUCCAGCCCUUCCUCCCAUUCCAGCUCUCUCUCUUCCUACUGUCCCCACAGGUGGUACUUCCCCCUCAAAGGCAAAUAUACUGGGUGAGGGGAGCCAAAGAGAGGAGGAAGGGAGGGGGUCUGGAGAAACAGCUGCAACCAGAACUAAAUAUAGCCUUCAAUUUGGCUUCGAUGCAGAUUCAUUUUUGGCUAAGAUGGUCCUCUGUCCCGUUCUGAACCUUUAGUCCUGGGGAGUCCUGCCUGGAUCAGGGCAGCAACCCCCAACAUCCCAUAUCUCUCACUGAGUGAACAGCCACGGGUAUACCUGAAUAUCACAAUGUUCUUUUCCAGACCUAGGAUGAGAGAUAGUCACAGUAUAUCCCUCACACAUUUACACUGGGCUGCCAGGGAGGCUGUACUGAGGAAGGUCUGUAAGGGGAGGGCAAGAGUAGACUGCUUCAUCUCCCUCAAAUGGUCCUCAGGAACUACUAUUUAUAAUGUGAGGCUUCAACACCUUCUUCCCCACCUCCCCAGCAUCUAAUUAUAACAGGGAAGGUUUGGUGGAGGGAGGUGGGGGGAUGAGGAGAAUCAACCAGAGAAAGUCAGGGGACCAAGAGAGAGGAACUGAGGGGGAGGGGAUAUGCCCUGACCUUACCUGAGGUCAUAACUUGGGUCUGUCUUUCCCUGCCAAAGCUGGUUUGUUCCUGUUAGGGUAGAUGGAACUUGAGUGACAGUGACAGGCACAGUUGGGACAGGUGUAGGGAAAGAUCCCCUCCCAUCUCUAGGGUCCCCUGGGGAUAGACCAGGGGAGGAGCUGUGUCCACAUCCCUGCUUGAGAAGACCAAAAUACAGAAAAGAAACAACCCUUGGCUCUAAAUCUCCCAGUAAGUCUAGGCUUCCAGCCCCCUCCCCUCAGCCUU